Molecule: long non-coding RNA, 3916 nt
Organism: Bombyx mori (domestic silkworm)
Lineage: Eukaryota; Metazoa; Arthropoda; Insecta; Lepidoptera; Bombycidae
Exons: 2
Source: RefSeq, a predicted model, not a curated record
UCACUCUUGACUUAAUGUAGUCCAUAAGUCAUUUGAAUAAUCAGUUACAUCGAUUCAUGUUUGCUCCAUUUCAACAUACUUGUAUGUAAAUAUCGAUUGGUCAAAAUUUGGAAUUAAGAUGCAAGAAUAGAAUAGGUAUUCAUAUGAAAUUGGAGAAAUUGUGUCAAAGCUGUUGAAGACAAAUUUAAUUAUGGGGCUAUUUUUUGGAGGAAAUCUUCUCCGGAUUUUCGCCUAAGCAACAGAAGGAGGCGGCGGAACGGGAGAGGGAGAGCUCUUCUUCCAUCUCGGUGCCGUGCAGCCGCCACCAAGCCGGGCGGUCGGAGGGGCCUCUGUGAGGAGGCAGACUCGUCCAAGUAAUGGUCACAGGGCGACCUGGGGGGGUCGAAGUUGCGCCGAACGCUACCGUCACUCUAGCAUGCCGUCACCGGGAGGAUGGGACGGCGCAUCGUCGACUCCAGUCCGCAUUACCGUCGUCGUUUUCGUCGCCAAACAUAAUGUUAAAGAGCAACCCGGUCGGCGAUGUAUCAUGUUCCGACUCAGCAGAACCAGCCGUUCUGACCCAGCGGGGUAUACCAGGAGAUUCGGCCCCCGGCCCGGAAAAAAAACAGAUCAUAUAUAUUAAAUAUUAAGUGUAUUAUUUAUCUAUCAGCCGUAGUAUAUAGAGUUUCUAUAUGUAGUCUAUAAAACUUGUAAUGUGUUCCUUUUAUAAAAGCUGUUAUCUAUAUAUUUAAAUUAUAAAAGUUAGGCUUCAUUUUAUCUUUCCUCAUGAUAGUCAUGUUUUAUUAUUCAUCACAUAUCUAUUUUUCAGAUAAGUAAAAUCGAUAGUAUACGUGUAAGUCACGCGCUGAUGAGACAUUUCUUCGAAAUGUGUCUGAUUAAUUGAAGAAACUCUAAUUUUGAGAUAUUACGUUUGUGUCAUUUAGUUUACCACAAAAUGUCAAAUUUCUUCUAUUUUUGCCUUUCAUAACUUCAUUAAUCUGUCUUCUCUCAAAUACCAGUUACUAAUGUAAGUACUCUUUGGGGUAAUUCGUUAUCUCUAGAUCUAUGUUACAAGUAGAUACUAGGUACAAUGAUACAUAGAUAGCUAGACAGAAAUCUACUGCAGUGUUUUUUUUUAUUACUGUCGAAGCAGACCUUUGUGGUAUGUUGUGUACAUACCGGACCCUAACCAAUGAUACAGCCGGACGCGUAGGUACAUCAAAACGCUUGACUUUUGCACAGGUCCGAAAGUCAUAUUGCCAGGGAACUUUGUUACUGGUGGUAGGACCUCUUGUGAGUCCGCACGGGUAGGUACCACCGCUCCGACUAUUUCUGCCGUGAAGCAGUAAUGCGUUUCGGUUUGAAGGGUGGAGCAGCCGUUGUAACUAUACUGAAACCUUAGAACUUAUAUCUCAAGGUGUGUGGCGCCUUUACGUUGUAGAUGUCUAUGGGUUCCAGUAACCGCUUAACACCAGGUGGGCUGUGAGCUCGUCCACCCAUCUAAGCAAUAAAAAUAAAAAAAACAAGUCCUUGUGCGAACUUUCUAUCUAUGUUUAUAAGGCAAGGUUUUGGUUUAAAGAAUUAUGACAGCUGGGAGCAAUAUUGUAAUAUCCGUGUCUGACGGAUGAAAUGAGGAACUCUCGUGAAGAUUUUGAAUUUUACUAAAACACUAAUAAAACUAAUAAUAAUUUACACUAAAACAUAAAAGCUUUAACCCUAAUCUAGACCCCACGCAAAUGAUAAUACGUUAGCCCUUAUCAGUUACAUGUUUACCAAAUUAUCAAUGGGAAAAGAAGCUUUAGAUAAGCCAAUCGAUUUUUUGAUGUACAUAAUUUAUACGGAGUACGAUGCAUUGGAUCGGGACGUUUUGUAACAAUUAUCGUAACGUUAUUUUUGUAAUAUGUAUGUAUCCUAAAUAAUAUGAUUUAUGACAUAAAUAGUAUUUUGAAUAUUGAAACAUAGAAAUAUUAAAACAUUUUUGAAUAUUGAAAUAUAAAAAAACAAAAAUAUAAAAAAAACAUAACAGUGCGUUUCCAAAGAUCUUUUUUGCCACGUACCAUCCGGCUUUGGAAUGAACUCCCCUCCACGGUGUUUUCCGAGCGCUAUGACAUGUCCUUCUUCAAACGAGGCUUGCGGAGAGUACUUUAUGGUAGGCAGCGGCUUGGCUCUGCCCCUGGCAUUGCUGACGUCCAUGAGCGACGGUAACCACUUACCAUCAGGUGGGCCGUACGCUCGUCUGCCUACAAAGGCAAUAAAAAAUAAAAAAAAUAAAAAUGGUGAAGCAAUAGCUUUAAAUGUUGUUUCUCUUUAUACAGCAACUCAAUUUGUGCUAUAGUUUAACUGGGCUUAACUUUAUUUGGAUGUGAAUAAAAUAAUACAUUAUAUGUAUACUAAUGCAUGUGAUUUUUUUUUCUUCUAAAAAGUAAUAAAAAUAACUAAAUAGAUUUAUCAGCUUCACAAAUUUCAACCUCUGUAUUAUUUAUUGGGCCUCGAUGUAAGGCAAAUGUUGUGUUCUUGGAUUAAAAAUUAACAUGGCGUUUUUUUUUAGUUGUUUCUCAUAAGUAAAAACGAACAUGACUUCACGCAUUCCGUUUAUCUUUAAAAAACAAACUGAAAUAAAUAAAUUUGUUUAUUGAUGAGGAAGAAAACACGAGAAUAGUAGGUAUAAAACGUUUAUUUCAUAUAAAUAUUAUGUAUAUAACAGAAUUUCUCUAAUUAGACUUUAUUACAUAAGCAAUUUUAUAUGAUAUAGUAAACAAUUUUACGUGCUUUAGAUAAGUCGCGCCACAUUCAACAAUAAUUUUUACUUACUGAUCAUUAAAUUUCUUACUAUAUUUGUACUACAACAAUAAAGUAGAAAGUCAACCGUAGUCUCAUUGUUUCCCGACAUCACAAUUUGAAGCCGUACGGGUAGGUUAUUGAACCCGCACUGGUAGGUACCACUACCCCGCCUACUUCUGCCGUGAAGUGGGAAUGUAUUUCAGUUUGAAGGGUCUGGGACAGCCGUUGUACUGAGACUUAUAACUCAUGUCUCAAGGUCAGUUGGCGGCAUUUACGUUGUUUUUAUCUUUUUUUAUUGCCUAGAUGGGUGGACGAGUUCACAGCCCACCUGGUGUUAAGUGGUUACUGGGGCCCAUAGGCAUCUACAACGUAAAUGCGCCACCCACCUUGAGAUAUGAGUUCUAAGGUCUCAGUAUAGUUAGUUACAACGGCUGCCCCACCCUUCAAACCGAAACGCAUUACUGCUUCACAGCAGAAAUAGGUGGGUUGGUGGUACCUACUCAUGCGGACUCACAAGAGGUCCUACCACCAGUUAAAAUGAGAGUAAAUGGGCAAAUAUCUACGGGUUCCCUCUGGUAACUACAUAACACUAGGCGGGCCGUGAUCUUGUCCACUUAUAAUAAGAGCAAGAAAAAAAACAUUAGCAAUAUAGAAGUAUUGCUUGAAAUCGAUUAAAGGCACUUUCCUUGUUUCACUACAAUUUUUAAAUCAAUUAUUUACCAAAUCGAUCAUAUUCAUUAAUAAUCGCUCAGUACAUUUGUACAUUGAAACAUGCAAUAUUAAACGAAGAACUAAAUGUUACUAAAUUAAAAUUGUUUAGUUUUGAAGGUUGAACAUUAAACCUAUUAACAAGUACGGGUCAAAUUGACCGUUUUCAAAUUUAUGUACUUUUUUAAACUAUAUAAGUACAUCAAAAUACCGUUGUGAAACUAUAAAACAAUUCGUAGAAUAUGCUUAAAAUAUUUGCUGCACUAUUUACUUAAGGUAUUUUUUUAAUCUUUUCCAAGAAAAAACACAUACAUGAUCUUUAUUGAAUAAUAAAAUCGACCGCUUUAUGAAUUUCGGGUCGAAGUUACUGAACGCAGUAGGAAGGAAUACGUAUACAAGAACUAUCGGUAGGUUUAGUGUUAAAAAACGUAAAGUGGUAAUAAAAUUA